UACAGAGGGGGCAAGCGUUGUUCGGAAUUACUGGGCGUAAAGGGCGCGUAGGCGGCCUGUUAAGUCGAACGUGAAAUCCCUGGGCUCAACCCAGGAACUGCGUCCGAUACUGGCAGGCUUGAAUUCGGGAGAGGGAUGCGGAAUUCCAGGUGUAGCGGUGGAAUGCGCAGAUAUCAGGAGGAACACCAACGGCGAAGGCAGCUCGCUGGGACGGUACUGACACUGAGGCGCGAAAGCGUGGGGAGCAAACAGG
RNAcentral lists this ribosomal RNA (253 nucleotides) under uncultured bacterium. RNAcentral's name for it is "partial 16S ribosomal RNA". It matches the Rfam family "Bacterial small subunit ribosomal RNA", at positions 524 to 776 of the family's 1533-position model. The record is from RNAcentral.